RNAcentral lists this ribosomal RNA (773 nucleotides) under uncultured Neocallimastigales. Its description in RNAcentral is "partial large subunit ribosomal RNA". It matches the Rfam family "Eukaryotic large subunit ribosomal RNA", at positions 24 to 624 of the family's 3401-position model. The record is from RNAcentral. Lineage: Eukaryota; Fungi; Neocallimastigomycota; Neocallimastigomycetes; Neocallimastigales.
UAUGUGAUCGUCUCUCGCAUAUCAAUAAGCGGAGGAAAAGAAACUAACAAGGAUUCCCCUAGUAACGGCGAGUGAAGCGGGAAGAGCUCAAAUUUGAAAUCUUAAAGGGUUUCCCUUUACGAAUUGUAGUUUAAAGAAGUGUUUUCUGUUGAGGUUUUGGUAAAAGUUCUUUGGAAUAGGACAUCAUAGAGGGUGAGAAUCCCGUAUUUGACCUUUACUUUCAACUUUGUGAUACACUUUCAAAGAGUCGGAUUGUUUGGGAAUGCAGUCCAAAAUGGGUGGUAAAUUUCAUCUAAAGCUAAAUAUUGGCGAGAGACCGAUAGCGAACAAGUACCGUGAGGGAAAGAUGAAAAGAACUUUGAAAAGAGAGUUAAACAGUACGUGAAAUUGUCAAAAGGGAAGCGUCUGACACCAGUGUUGUAUUUCUGAAAAUCAAUUAAAGAACUGUUUAUGCUAAGCUGUUUAGACUUUAUCAGCUAUCUGUUUAGUUUUGAGCUUUUCUUUAAUGCACUUUUCAGUUAACAAGUCAACAUCAAUUUCUUUUGCUGUAAAAAAGCUUGAGGAAGGUGGCUUGAGAUUCGUCUUAAGUGUUUAUAGCCUCUUGCCUAUGCAGUCGGAGAGAUUGAGGUCUGCAGCGUAGAUCCUUCGGGGCUAAAUGCAUUUGUGCUAAGUUAUAGCAUUUUAUAGACAACUUGUUGACUAUGAUUUGUCUUGUAGCUUACUCGCUUAUGUUAUUUUACCUACGCUUAGGAUGUUGAAGACUCUACAGAGAU